This 443-nucleotide ribosomal RNA is filed under the name uncultured bacterium. RNAcentral's name for it is "partial 16S ribosomal RNA". It matches the Rfam family "Bacterial small subunit ribosomal RNA", at positions 338 to 795 of the family's 1533-position model. The record is from RNAcentral.
CCUACGGGAGGCAGCAGUGGGGAAUAUUGGGCAAUGGAGGAAACUCUGACCCAGCAACGCCGCGUGAAUGAUGAAGGUCUUCGGAUUGUAAAGUUCUUUUCUCAGGGAAGAAGAAAGUGACGGUACCUUAGGAAUAAGCCUCGGCGAACUACGUGACAGCAGCCGCGGUAAUACGUAGGAGGCAAGCGUUAUCCGGAAUGACUGGGCGUAAAGGGGGCGUAGGUGGUUUGACAAGUUGGUAGCGUAACUCCGGGGCUUAACCUCGGCACUACUACCAAAACUGUUGGACUCGAGUGCAGGAGAGGCAAAUGGAAUUCCUAGUGUAGCGGUGGAAUGCGUAGAUAUUAGGAGGAACACCAGUGGCGAAGGCGAUUUGCUGGACUGUAACUGACACUGAGGCACGAAAGCGUGGGGAGCAAACAGGAUUAGAUACCCCUGUAGUC